AUUCAUUCAUGCAUCUCAACUACGUUCUUCUUUUUUUACAUCAAAAGUCAAAUACUCAUUGUCUAUAUUUAUUUUAACGAUCGAGGUUAAACUAAUAAUUAUUAGGUACUUAAGUACUUUAGUAGUUAGUACUUAGGCUCGGCCUAGAUAUAUAUACAUACUCUAAUUACUAUUUAUUAAUUUAUACCUUGCCUGACAAGAUAUAAAAAACGAGCCAAUUGUCUAGCUUGCUGCUCCUCCUCACAUUCUCCAUAUGUAAAACCUUGCAUAGCAUUUGAAAAAACAAUCGAACAAUCCUAAAAUUUUAAUUCAUUUUAAAAAUUUGGGAUCUCCGAACAUUGUAGUUUGUCUUUGUUAAUUUCGCGACUGUAAAAAUUAUAUGACAGUUUUCAUUAAAUCAGUAGAAAAAAUUGACAGAAGCUAAAGAAGAAGAAAAAAAAACCUUAUCAAACCAGAGAAUAACAAUGCAAGAUCUCAUAAACGUACCUAAGUGCCAAUGACAAUGCUGCCGAGAGAAGAGUUGCAACGGCAGAAUUAGCGAUUUAAUUUUCACAACUGUUGGUGAUUUUAAAACUCAACGAUGUCGGACUUGCAAUAAUCUGCACGACUGUUGGAACAAAACUCGCCAUCUGCAGAAUGACGGACUUGCAAUAAUCUGCACGACUGUUGGAACAAAACUCGCCAUCUGCAGAAUGACGGACUCGCAAUUUGCACAACACGGACUUGGAAAAACCGGCAGAAAUCACAAGAGUCGGCAAAAGAGGCACCAGCAACGGACUCGGAAUCACAACGAUUUAAUCGCAAGAUGAAAUCGAGAGCAAAAAACCGAAAUCAAUUUCAUAAAAAGGAAUAAAAAAAUGCAAACAACGAAAACUUGGUGACGUGUGUCUGACAAAGGGAGAAAAAAAUUGUAUAAAAUUUUAGUGAUUUGUUGAGAAAUUGUAUAAAGAAAAAUAAAAUACUAGUUAUUGUGUAAAGAAAACAAAGAAAAAAGAAAAAAAGGAAUGUGUAAAUGCCUUGGUGAUGACAAUGUCGAUCAUCAGUUGCAUCCAAAGAGGAUCGUGUAAAUGCCUUGGUGAUGUUGUUUGGCCAGAGAUCAAGACGUC
RNAcentral lists this long non-coding RNA (1106 nucleotides) under Zostera marina. RNAcentral describes it as "long non-coding RNA (ZMAR_LNC001512)". The record is from RNAcentral. Lineage: Eukaryota; Viridiplantae; Streptophyta; Magnoliopsida; Alismatales; Zosteraceae.